RNAcentral lists this long non-coding RNA (847 nucleotides) under Homo sapiens (human). Its description in RNAcentral is "non-protein coding lnc-CRYBA4-52:17". Lineage: Eukaryota; Metazoa; Chordata; Mammalia; Primates; Hominidae. The record is from RNAcentral.
GCGCACCGGCCAGCUAGCCCCUUUGUGCGGCGGGGGCUGCGGAGUGCUCCCUCCAAGACCGGUUGCACCCCGCUUUCCUGGCCAGGACUCUGGGCGCGGUUGGAGGCAUCUGUCCACCCAUGUGGUUCCAGACACGUUCAUGUGGCCACCAUGACCCCGUCGGCAUCACAGGGGUAACCAAGAGAGCAGCAAGUUCCUGGGACAGAGGAGACAGAAGGGAAUUUCCAGGUUCUUCAGGACGUUCACAACCACACUGAGAAGCAUCUUUGCAGAUAAGUAUUUAAACUUACCAGCCCAUAGCCUACCAGCCUGCCCUCUUCUGGUCUGUGCAGGAAAGUGUAGUAUCCUAGAAUGCCAAAGUGGGAGGGGAAAUGGGUGAUGUAGCUCAUUCUCUUUUCUACCUCUAUGGAAGAAAGAAAGAGCCUGUCCCCAUUUUGUGGGGUCCCAGAAAGGGUGAUUUUCACACUUCACAUUUGGCGUUAGGGCUAGUAUUUCACAAACAUUACCGUCUGGAACUUUUGAAGGCUGAGUUAAAUGACUUCAUCUUGUGUACUUGUAGAACUGCUAUUAGAAGGAGGCUGGGGACUCCCUGAUGAUGUGAACCAGCCCUUCUCUUCUCAGUUUCAGCACUUUGUGAUCAUAUUUAUAAACCUUGGACAGGGCUCCUUGGCCUUAGAGUUAAGUGAAGAGUUAACACUGUGACUUUAGAUGCAUUUUUCUCAGUGUAAGUGUCUGAGCUCAUCUCCAGUUCUGGACUCGUGCCCCCACUCCCGGGUGCUGACAGCAAGCUCUGAAGAUAUGCUGAGAGAGCUCCCUGACUCUCCUGACUCAGGUCUGCCAGUUGAUG